GCAGCAGCAGCAGCCAGGAAAGUUCUGGUCACUGCGCGCGGGGAGACCCCGGGGCUGCGGCGAGCCGAAGCUGCGUGCGGCGGGAGCCGGGAGCGCUGCGCUGCGGCCCCGGAGCCGCGGCUCGGAACACGGCCGGCGCCCGGUGAGGACACCCUCGGGCUCUUGUUCGCUGUGCUGGGGAGGAGGAGCAAUGUUUAUUUCUUCAAUCACAUUGAAACUCUGACCUGCAGUCAUCUCGAUGCAGUGGUCACAGAGGUCCUGUCAGCCAGCACAAGCCACUCUCUGUCCAGAUGCACCUGGAUGAACGUGGUGAAAGACCAGGCAGAGAUGCCAGCUUUGCCCCCAGCUUUGGCUGUUUUGCUGCUCCUAUAUCAGUGUUCUCCUGCUCUUCAGACAUAAUGAAAACUGCAAAAACAACGAAUGUGUUUUGCCUUUGGUUCUCACUGGAGAUUAGACCUGAUGGGAAACAAACUUUGGGCACGAGUGCCUCCAGGCUGUGUGACCUCUGGUUAUGACUUGCUGGGACUGGCCUCACGGCAGCAGGCAUUGUACAGCAGGCUGCUAAGGAGAUAAUUUGCCCAUGAAUGCCAUGGCAUUCUCCUUGGCAGGUACAGCCCAGCCUCUCUCUGGCACUGAAAUUUGAGUAUCUUCAAUUUAAUCGUCCAUCAGUUCUCACAGACUGAGCCUGAGCAUGCUCAGUGCCUCUCUUUGCCUGCCUGCUGAAGCUGACAGCUUAGAGCACACAAAUUCAGGUGCUAAGUAGCUUCUGGAGAAGUGCACAAGAUGUGAAGCUGAAUGAGAAGGAAGUUUGAAAUGACUUUUGGUUUUC
Molecule: long non-coding RNA, 829 nt
Organism: Pogoniulus pusillus (Red-fronted tinkerbird)
Lineage: Eukaryota; Metazoa; Chordata; Aves; Piciformes; Lybiidae
Exons: 3
Source: RefSeq, a predicted model, not a curated record